Molecule: long non-coding RNA, 737 nt
Filed under: Lathyrus oleraceus (garden pea)
Lineage: Eukaryota; Viridiplantae; Streptophyta; Magnoliopsida; Fabales; Fabaceae
Description: Pisum sativum (pea) long non-coding RNA (PSAT_LNC039865)
Source: RNAcentral
UACCUCUGUAUCCGUUGAACGAAACCGAAAACUUGAUAGCAUAAAACCCGCUGAACUUCAUUCAACUGCAAAACUUUCGCACUUUGUCAUUCUUGCACGCACAACUUGGAAUCCAAUCUCAACCCAUUUUUCACUGAGUUCUUGGUACCUUUUCUGUUGAAUUUGAAGGUUUUUGAAAUCUAGGUUAAGAGAGUUUUCGUUAGAUGAGUAACCAGAGGAAGAGGAAUUUUCAGAGAUUGAGCGCGUUCAAGCCACAGAGUCUUAUCUUGCGAUCCGAUGAUAGCCGAACAUACUUGGAAGAUUCUGGAGCCAUGCAAUUCAGAUGAAUAUAUAAUAAGAAUGCUAGCAGUCUCAGUUUUGAAGACCUUACAGGGUUUUUUUUUCAUGAUUUUUUUCUUACUGUUGUUGAUUCUUAGAAAACUUUGUUUUACCUGUUAUUGUUAUUAUGAUGAAUUGAUGAUUGAUUUUGAUCAUAAUUUUGUAAUUGUUUAGCUUGUGUUUUGAGAUAUGUAGUUGUAUUGUAGUUGUUGUUGAGUUUUUUUAGGGGUUUAUGAAAUGAUUGAAUUGGUGUAUAUGAAAGCAAAUCCAAGCAUUCGUGUUUACUACUUAGGGGAUGUUUGGAAGAGCUUAUAUGCUUAGACGGAAUUAUGAAAACAGUUUUGAUUAGUUCCUUCAAAUCACUUGUUAUUUUUUGAAAAAAAUUGCUUAUUCUCCCUGCUUUCAGAUUAUGUAGAGUU